UUGUAAUCCCCAAAUAAGAGGUCCUGCCUGCCCUGUGACUAUAUGUUUAACGGCCGCGGUAUUUUGACCGUGCAAAGGUAGCGCAAUCACUUGUCUCUUAAAUAGAGACCCGUAUGAAUGGCAAGACGAGGGCUUAACUGUCUCCUUCCUCCGGUCAAUGAAAUUUAUCUCCCCGUGCAGAAGCGGGGAUUCGCACACAAGACGAGAAGACCCUAUGGAGCUUUAGAUGCAUAGCUGAUUAUUAACGUCAAAACCAUAAUUAAAAGAUUUAACUAAACUAAUUCCGCUAAAUAUCUUUGGUUGGGGCGACCACGGGGUAAAAACCAACCCCCGCGAGGAAUGGGUUAUAAUCCUAAAACUAAGAACGACAGUUCUAAGUACCAAAACAUUUGACCACCAGAUCCGGCAAAGCCGAUCAACGAACUGAGUUACCCUAGGGAUAACAGCGCAAUCCUCUCUAAGAGUCCCUAUCGACGAGAGGGUUUACGACCUCGAUGUUGGAUCAGGACAUCCUAAUGGUGUAGCCGCUAUUGAGGGUUCGUUUGUUCAACGAUUAAAGUCCU
Molecule: ribosomal RNA, 563 nt
Filed under: Bhanotia fasciolata
Lineage: Eukaryota; Metazoa; Chordata; Actinopteri; Syngnathiformes; Syngnathidae
Description: partial 16S ribosomal RNA
Rfam family: Bacterial large subunit ribosomal RNA
Source: RNAcentral